AUACCUGAUGCUAUAACCUAAAGGUCCAAAUAUACCCUUUAGCUCCGCCCUGCCCUUCCCUUGAGGAUGAAAGAUGAAGUACUAUUUGUCCAAAACUAGUUUUUGUCAAUAUUGAGGGUAAAUUAUUAAGCCUCACUCGUGAUUUAUGAGUAAGUAGAAACCAUAAAAACGUAUACUAGAAGUGAGAAAAUGAUCUACAUUGGCCAAUUAUGAGAGGACAAGUAGUUUUAAUUCUUGAAAAUAUCUUUGUUGAACAUAAUACAAUGAAAAUGACAAAAUCCCAUUUUCUAGCUACUGCCAGGUAUUUGAUAAGGAUAUAUUAAUUAAAAUUAAAAGAAAGAAAUUACGUUCCUUAAGCUACAAAGACUUUUGAGUUGUCUUAUGCAAAGUAAGCUCAUAUUACCACACAAGGAGAAAGUGGUUAUUUGUCAAAGCUAUAAACCAAAAGCUCUCUGAAAACUUUAUUGGAGUAUUGUUAUAAAAUUAGCACUUCCUUUAGGUGCAAGGCUAGAACAAGUAGAAAAAUGGAUGCACCCCAAGUUCAACAGGUAUCUUAUGAGGAGGUAUCUUAUAUCGAUCAUGUGAAACGCCGACACGAGGAAAAAGGAUGCCUUUAUGCUUGUUUGUUCGCAAUGUGUUGCUGUUUCUGUUGCUACGAGACCUGUGAGUGCUGUUUGGACAUGCUCUGCUGCUGCUGUUGAUGACCCUCCUAGUCCUAGCCAUGGCAACCCUAUCUUAUUAUGUUAGCAACAUAAGCUAAAAGUGGAAUAUGUUCUCCUGUUUUGGCUCUAUAUUUUUGCCACUUCUUUAUUGUUA
Long non-coding RNA from Lycium ferocissimum, 816 nucleotides. RefSeq lists it as uncharacterized. The record is from RefSeq and is a predicted model, not a curated record. The transcript has 2 exons. Lineage: Eukaryota; Viridiplantae; Streptophyta; Magnoliopsida; Solanales; Solanaceae.